UACGGAGGAUCCGAGCGUUAUCCGGAUUUAUUGGGUUUAAAGGGUGCGUAGGCGGACUGGUAAGUCAGUGGUGAAAUCCUGCAGCUUAACUGUAGAAUUGCCGUUGAUACUGUUAGUCUUGAGUACAUUUGAGGUAGGCGGAAUGUGGUGUGUAGCGGUGAAAUGCAUAGAUAUACCACAGAACACCGAUUGCGAAGGCAGCUUACUAAACUGUAACUGACGCUGAGGCACGAAAGCGUGGGUAUCAAACAGGAUUAGAUACC
This 263-nucleotide ribosomal RNA is filed under the name uncultured bacterium. RNAcentral describes it as "partial 16S ribosomal RNA". It matches the Rfam family "Bacterial small subunit ribosomal RNA", at positions 524 to 786 of the family's 1533-position model. The record is from RNAcentral.